AACCUCUAUCCUGUUGUUGUAACAAGCAAUCUGUAAUGGUGGGGUGCCAUCAUUACUACAUUUAUUGACAUCAGCUGAAUGUUGUAACAGUACUUUAACAACAUCAACAUGUCCAUUCUGACUUGCUAUAGACAGAGGUGAUACACCAUUAUUGUCACAUUUAUUGACAUCAGCUGAAUGUUGUAACAGUUCUUUAACAACAUCAACAUGUCCAUUCUGACUUGCUACAUACAGAGGUGAUACACCAUUAUUGUCACAUUUAUUGACAUCAGCUGAAUGUUGUAACAGUACUUUAACAACAUCAACAUGUCCAUUCUGACUUGCUACAUACAGAGGUGAUACACCAUUAUUGUCACAUUUAUUGACAUCAGCUGAAUGUUGUAACAGUUCUUUAACAACAUCAACAUGUCCUUUCUCACUUGCUAUAUACAGAGGUGAUACACAAUCAUUACUACACUUAUUGACAUCAGCUGAAUGUUGUAACAGUUCUUUAACAACAUUAACAUAUCCAUUCUGACUUGCUAUAUACAGAGGUGAUACAUCAUCAUUGUUACAUUUAUUGACAUCAGCUGAAUGUUGUAACAGUUCUUUAACAACAUCAACAUGUCCUUCCUGACUUGCUAUAUAAAGUGAAGAACAUCCAUCAUCAUCACAGAGAU
Long non-coding RNA from Mytilus californianus (California mussel), 659 nucleotides. RefSeq lists it as uncharacterized. The transcript has 4 exons. NCBI's taxonomy places the organism in Eukaryota, Metazoa, Mollusca, Bivalvia, Mytilida, Mytilidae. The record is from RefSeq and is a predicted model, not a curated record.